UUUCCGUAGGUGAACCUGCGGAAGGAUCAUUACUAACGUAUCCACGUAUAAACCAAAACAGUUGAAUUUGUUUCCAAUUCGUCCGUUAGGCUGGGAAUGGUUGUUGGACGGUAGUUCGUUCAAUGAUUUCGCGAUCAUUUACUUGUAAUUGAUUGUACCCUACCUAGUUCGCGAAUUUUUUACUAAACUAAAUUUUUAACCCAUUUCACCCAAUUUCAAUAUGAACUUAAACUGAUUUAGAAAGGAGACUUUCUGAAUUAAAAAAUACGAAAUUAAGAACAACUCUUAACAACGGAUAUCUUGGCUCUC
This 309-nucleotide unclassified non-coding RNA is filed under the name plant metagenome. RNAcentral's name for it is "partial contains small subunit ribosomal RNA, internal transcribed spacer 1, and 5.8S ribosomal RNA". The record is from RNAcentral.